This 253-nucleotide ribosomal RNA is filed under the name uncultured bacterium. RNAcentral's name for it is "partial 16S ribosomal RNA". It matches the Rfam family "Bacterial small subunit ribosomal RNA", at positions 524 to 776 of the family's 1533-position model. The record is from RNAcentral.
UACGUAGGUGGCAAGCGUUGUCCGGAUUUACUGGGCGUAAAGAGCGCGCAGGCGGUCGGAUAAGUCGAAUGUGAAAGCCCCCGGCUCAACUGGGGAGGGUCACGCGAUACUGUUCGACUCGAAGGCAGGAGAGGGAAGCGGAAUUCCCGGUGUAGUGGUGAAAUGCGUAGAUAUCGGGAGGAACACCAGUGGCGAAGGCGGCUUCCUGGCCUGUUCUUGACGCUGAGGCGCGAAAGCUAGGGUAGCAAACGGG